This 381-nucleotide ribosomal RNA is filed under the name uncultured eukaryote. RNAcentral's name for it is "partial 18S ribosomal RNA". It matches the Rfam family "Eukaryotic small subunit ribosomal RNA", at positions 592 to 976 of the family's 1831-position model. The record is from RNAcentral.
CAAUAGCGUAUAUUAAAGCUGUUGCGGUUAAAAAGCUCGUAGUUGGAUUUCUGUCAAGGACAACUGGUCCGCCCCUCGGGUGAGCACAUAGUUUGGUCUUGGCAUCUUGUUGGACACUGUUGCUGCCCUUGGUUGUGUGGCGCAGUGUCCAGCACUUUCACUUUGAGGAAAUUGGAGUGUUUCAAGCAGGCACAUGCCUUUGGACACAGUAGCAUGGAAUAAUUAGAUUGGGCUUUUGCUCCAACUUGUCGGUUUCUGGAGCUGAGGUGAGAAUUAAUGGGGAUUGUUGGGGGCAUCCGAAUUUAGCCGUCAGAGGUGAAAUUCUUGGAUCUGCUAAAGACGGACAACUGCGAAAGCGUUUGCCCAGGAUGUUUUCAUUGA